RNAcentral lists this ribosomal RNA (238 nucleotides) under uncultured bacterium. Its description in RNAcentral is "partial 16S ribosomal RNA". It matches the Rfam family "Bacterial small subunit ribosomal RNA", at positions 100 to 334 of the family's 1533-position model. The record is from RNAcentral.
CGGGACGGGUGAGUAACGCGUGAGCAACCUUUCCUUCACAGGGGGAUAAGAUACCGAAAGGUGUUCUAAUACCGCAUGAGACCACAGAGCCACAUGGCUUAGGGGUCAAAGGAGGAAUCCGGUGAAGGGUGGGCUCGCGUCCGAUUAGCUAGUUGGUGAGGUGACGGCCCACCAAGGCGACGAUCGGUAGCCGACCUGAGAGGGUGAUCGGCCACAUUGGAACUGAGAGACGGUCCAA